CUUUUAGAAUACGCAAUACCUAGUCAUGAUAAUUAUAAUCAUAUAAAUUUAAAUAAUUCGGGUUGGAUGCGUUGUCACGGAGAAAACAAACUCGCAACUUUUAACUGGAAGAUUACUAUCAAAAGAUCGGUUGUACUUAAGGCUUAAAGUUUGAUUACACUGAAACGGACUUAAAAUUUUGCAGAUAAAAGUAUAAAAUUCAUUUUGGACCACGUCAACAACAAGAUAAAACUAGACGACGCACCUGUUGUUUGUUGAUAGCUGAUUCCUGUUAGUAAAUAUUUAAUGGAAUAAAGGCAUUUUAUCAUUGAAUCAAUCGUGAGUAAACAUUUUUAUUCAAUUUUCCAUCUAAUCGUUCUUAUAUAUAAUACAUGUAUAUUAUGUCAUUAUCAAAUAUCUUAUUUUGCUUAUGUUUCCACCAGGUAUGUUCGAUCUCUUUAUGGGAUGCACUUUUAAACCUGUCUAGGUUCAUAUUAUAAAGAAUGGAUUUAAAAUUGUUCAUGUGUGAAUAUUUUAUACAUCAUUUAAGCAAGAAUAAUAAUUGAAAUAUAUUAUUACGCUAGCGCAUCAAAUAUCCUGACUUGAUCAAUAAGUGUUAUUUUAUAUUUUACAUAGGUUGCAUAUGGAGAAGAUAGAUUCUGGAUUAGAAUUUGACAUGCUUAUUACGUGAGUAAAUUUACAAAGACAAAUUCUCAUUGUAUAAUUUAUCAUUAGAUGUUGACGUUUACUACAUGUAUAUAAAUACAGGUAGAGUUUUUGUUACAUUUUUUUACAACACACUAUUUGUAUAUAGAGUGCUUGCUACAUAUGCAUUAAAUGUAAACUUAUCAGAGUUUAAAAAGUUUUUCUAUACACUUGACUAGACAUUUCACUAUAAAGAGCAACAAUUAAUGCAUAACUUUUCGAUGUAUAUGCAUCCCCUAUUUCAUUACUUUUGGCAUUUCGUUUUUCUCUUACAUUUAUUCAUUCGUAUUACAACGAGUUAACUGCAGCUGCUCAAAUAUUUAUUUCAACGCGGAAAAGGUAAUUAAAUUUUAUACCAAUUAUCAAAAAUAGGAUAUUAUAAUAUUCCUGUACCUAAAUAGGUUGUUGAUUUAGUAUGUCUUGACAUUGGACAUGUAACCUGUGACAAAUAGAUGUAAUAGUCCCAUGUGCUACUUUAUAAAUUAAUACAUUGGCAUUUUGUUAUCUAUUUAUAUCUUUACUGAUUAUAUGUACAGAUCUAAGAGACAAGAGCAAGGAAACACUUAUAUGAUUAAUAGAAAGGAAGGAAAACAAUAGAGAUAAUGACAAAAAUGUCAAUGAAGCGACAAACAAAGCGACAAAAUAAAUGUGAAAAACGAGUCGAAACCGAAAAUAAUUAAAUAAAUGAAAUCGAAUUUAUUAUAACGGGUUGACUGCUGCACAAAAUGUAAUUUCUAUCGGGAAAUAUUUAUACACUGACAACAUCAAGAACUUCUCUGAGAUUAAGCUUCAGAACCCCUAUCGCAGCAAUGCGUUUUGUUAGCAUUAAUCGGUUAACUUUUCGGAGUUUGAACAAGCAUAUCAAAGUGAGGAAAAAAAAAACCCGAGGGAAUUCAAAUGGAGCGAGACUGGGUGCAUCGACAGAAUAAACCGCAUAGGAAGGGCGACAACCGUGUUUUCAUAUUCAUUCAGAAGAAAAAGACUGUUUAAUAAAAUUUCUAACCGUUUUCCCUUUUAGUAUUUUUAGGAAAUAAGAUAGGUUUAAACUAAGCAAUGAACAAAAUAAGACACUUUAAUUCAAUACUACAUGUAUGCUACAUUUUUAUUCAUUCUCUUUUUAGGUAAAAUGGAUUAUGUUAAAUCAGCACUACAGAUAAUUCUGCUUGGUUUUUUCUUCUUUGUCUUAGCGUGGAUUUGUGUAUACGCAGACAAGUUGUUACUGGUAUUUCAGAGUUUUUAGUAUAGCUAUUUUGGUGGACCAAGAUUGUUCUAAAACAAGUUUUUUAGCAAUGUAAACAUUACAAUACACACAUCAAUAUGCAUAUGGAUAUCUCACUGAAUUGAUGCAGUCCACCAUUUUAGAAUCUUUCUAGCUUUUGGAUACGUGUGCAUGGACAGAUUGAAGUUUAACAUUCAAUUUGACUUAUUUUAUCUAAACUAAUAUCAUAUUUUUAAUUUAAUAUGUAUGAAAUGAAUGAAAACAUAGUUUAUUAAAU
RNAcentral lists this long non-coding RNA (2180 nucleotides) under Mytilus galloprovincialis (Mediterranean mussel). The record is from RNAcentral. Lineage: Eukaryota; Metazoa; Mollusca; Bivalvia; Mytilida; Mytilidae.